ACAAUUGAUAAGAUGAUUUUAUUGUUUUCUAAUUUCAAUUUCAUUCGGGCUCCUAAAUUUACUCUAAAAUUAUCUAUAUAUUCAACCCAAUCCCAGAAAACUAGGAAUCAAAUUUUAUUUAAAAUUAAAUACACAUUAUCUCAGCUUCAUAUAUACAUUCAUUCUCAUAAAAUUUCAACUCUUCAGGUAGUCUCUCUCUCUCUCUCUCUCUCUCUCUCUCUCCUUUUCCUUUUCUAUUUCUUUUCUUUUGUUAUUUUUCCUAUUUAAUCUUGCUUUUGUUUUUUGAAAGAAAAUCGAAAGAAAUAAUACAAGGAUUUAAUCCAUCUAUGAUGCUUUAAUUAUCCCAAUCCUAUAUUGCUACUCUCUCGAUUUCUUCUGAUACAGUUUAAUUCGAGGAGUAUUAAGAUCGUAAAGUAUCAUUUUCUUUAUUCUGGUUUCAAAGAAUCUAUUAUGGCAGCAAUAUCCAUGGAAUUGCAAUUUCUAAAGGGAUCUACAUCUUCGAGCCUCCUUUUAUGGGAUCAAGUAGCAUCAUAGGUCUGUCCCCAAUCAUGUCAUUAGUUUGAUCUUUGAUAAGCAUAUUUGGAGUGUUCUUCGCAAUCAAUUUCAUACAUGUUAUGAGAUAUGGUUGAUAUUUUUAUUGGGAAAUGAG
This is a long non-coding RNA of Lactuca sativa (garden lettuce), 649 nucleotides long. RefSeq lists it as uncharacterized. NCBI's taxonomy places the organism in Eukaryota, Viridiplantae, Streptophyta, Magnoliopsida, Asterales, Asteraceae. The record is from RefSeq and is a predicted model, not a curated record.